UGGGGAAUAUUGCACAAUGGGCGCAAGCCUGAUGCAGCCAUGCCGCGUGUGUGAAGAAGGCCUUCGGGUUGUAAAGCACUUUCAGCGAGGAGGAAGGUGGUGAGCUUAAUACGCUCAUCAAUUGACGUUACUCGCAGAAGAAGCACCGGCUAACUUCGUGCCAGCAGCCGCGGUAAUACGGAGGGUGCAAGCGUUAAUCGGAAUUACUGGGCGUAAAGCGCACGCAGGCGGUUUGUUAAGUCAGAUGUGAAAUCCCCGGGCUCAACCUGGGAACUGCAUUUGAAACUGGCAAGCUAGAGUCUCGUAGAGGGGGGUAGAAUUCCAGGUGUAGCGGUGAAAUGCGUAGAGAUCUGGAGGAAUACCGGUGGCGAAGGCGGCCCCCUGGACGAAGACUGACGCUCAGGUGCGAAAGCGUGGGGCAGCAAACAGGAUUAGAUACCCUGGUAGUCCACGCUGUAAACGAUGUCGAUUUGGAGGUUGUGCCCUUGAGGCGUGGCUUCCGGAGCUAACGCGUUAAAUCGACCGCCUGGGGAGUACGGCCGCAAGGUUAAAACUCAAAUGAAUUG
Molecule: ribosomal RNA, 566 nt
Filed under: uncultured bacterium
Lineage: Bacteria
Description: partial 16S ribosomal RNA
Rfam family: Bacterial small subunit ribosomal RNA
Source: RNAcentral